GGGGGUGUAGCUUACUGGUAGUGUGAGCUUGGACUGUUCAAGGCCCUGGGUUCAGUCCCCAGCACCAACA
Molecule: transfer RNA, 70 nt
Filed under: Marmota monax (woodchuck)
Lineage: Eukaryota; Metazoa; Chordata; Mammalia; Rodentia; Sciuridae
Description: tRNA.Ser
Source: RNAcentral